Lycium barbarum (goji berry) is the source of this 189-nucleotide small nuclear RNA. RefSeq annotates it as U2 spliceosomal RNA. The transcript has a single exon. The record is from RefSeq and is a predicted model, not a curated record. Lineage: Eukaryota; Viridiplantae; Streptophyta; Magnoliopsida; Solanales; Solanaceae.
AUACCUUUCUCGGCCUUUUGGCUAAGAUUAAGUGUAGUAUCUGUUCUUAUCAGUUUAAUAUUUGAUAUGUGGAGACAACAUGAUAUUAAUUUAAUUUUUUAAGAGGGAAGGUUCAUUAGGAUAGUUUGCUAUUUGGGUCUUCACGUGUUGCCUAAAUGUUGCAUUACGGCUAAGCCUGUUACUAGUUAG